RNAcentral lists this transfer RNA (69 nucleotides) under Anomaloglossus surinamensis. RNAcentral's name for it is "tRNA-Val". It matches the Rfam family "tRNA". From Rfam's summary of the family: Transfer RNA (tRNA) molecules are approximately 80 nucleotides in length. Their secondary structure includes four short double-helical elements and three loops (D, anti-codon, and T loops). Further hydrogen bonds mediate the characteristic L-shaped molecular structure. tRNAs have two regions of fundamental functional importance: the anti-codon, which is responsible for specific mRNA codon recognition, and the 3' end, to which the tRNAs corresponding amino acid is attached (by aminoacyl-tRNA synthetases). tRNAs cope with the degeneracy of the genetic code in two manners: having more than one tRNA (with a specific anti-codon) for a particular amino acid; and 'wobble' base-pairing, i.e. permitting non-standard base-pairing at the 3rd anti-codon position. Lineage: Eukaryota; Metazoa; Chordata; Amphibia; Anura; Aromobatidae. The record is from RNAcentral.
CAGAAUGUAACUUAAUAAAAGUAUUUCGCUUACACCGCAACCAUAUUUGUGCAAACCAAAUUAUUCUGA